This 708-nucleotide ribosomal RNA is filed under the name uncultured Enterobacteriaceae bacterium. RNAcentral describes it as "bacterial SSU rRNA". It matches the Rfam family "Bacterial small subunit ribosomal RNA", at positions 794 to 1502 of the family's 1533-position model. The record is from RNAcentral. Lineage: Bacteria; Pseudomonadati; Pseudomonadota; Gammaproteobacteria; Enterobacterales; Enterobacteriaceae.
UCCACGCUGUAAACAAUGUCGAUUUGGAGUUUGUUGCCUAGAGUGAUGGGCUCCGAAGCUAACGCGAUAAAUCGACCGCCUGGGGAGUACGGCCGCAAGGUUAAAACUCAAAUGAAUUGACGGGGGCCCGCACAAGCGGUGGAGCAUGUGGUUUAAUUCGAUGCAACGCGAAGAACCUUACCUGGUCUUGACAUCCAUAGAAUUCUGCAGAGAUGUGGGAGUGCCUUCGGGAACUAUGAGACAGGUGCUGCAUGGCUGUCGUCAGCUCGUGUUGUGAAAUGUUGGGUUAAGUCCCGCAACGAGCGCAACCCUUAUUCUUUGUUGCCAGCGAUUUGGUCGGGAACUCAAAGGAGACUGCCGUUGAUAAAGCGGAGGAAGGUGGGGACGACGUCAAGUCAUCAUGGCCCUUACGACCAGGGCUACACACGUGCUACAAUGGCGUAUACAAAGGGAAGCGAAGGUGCGAGCUGGAGCGGAUCUCAUAAAGUACGUCUAAGUUCGGAUUGGAGUCUGCAACUCGACUCCAUGAAGUCGGAAUCGCUAGUAAUCGUAGAUCAGAAUGCUACGGUGAAUACGUUCCCGGGCCUUGUACACACCGCCCGUCACACCAUGGGAGUGGGUUGCACCAGAAGUAGAUAGCUUAACCGCGAGGGGGGCGUUUACCACGGUGUGAUUCAUGACUGGGGUGAAGUCGUAACAAGGUAACCA